Oncorhynchus tshawytscha (Chinook salmon) is the source of this 564-nucleotide long non-coding RNA. Lineage: Eukaryota; Metazoa; Chordata; Actinopteri; Salmoniformes; Salmonidae. The record is from Ensembl.
GAUAGAGAGGAGAGAGAGUAAGGGAUAGUGAUAGAGAGUAAGGGAUAGUGAUAGAGAGGAGAGAGAGUAAGGGAUAUUGAUAGAGAGGAGAGAGAGUAAGGGAUAAGAGGAGAGAGAGUAAGGGAUAGUGAUAGAGAGGAGAGAGAGUAAGGGAUAGUGAUAGAGAGUAAGGGAUCGUGAUAGAGAGAAGGAGAGAGAGUAAGGGAUAGUGAUAGAGAGAAGGAGAGAGAGUAAGGGAUAGUGAUAGAGAGAGUAAGGGAUAGUGAUAGAGAGGAGAGAGAGUAAGGGAUAGUGAUAGAGAGAGUAAGGGAUAGUGAUAGAGAGAAGAGAGAGUAAGGGAUAGUGAUAGAGAGGAGAGAGAGUAAGGGAUAGUGAUAGAGAGAAGAGAGAGUAAGGAAUGGUGAUAGAGAGAAGGAGAGAGAGUAAGGGAUGGUGAUAGAGAGAGUAAGGGAUAGUGAUAGAGAGAAGAGAGAGUAAGGAAUGGUGAUAGAGAGAAGGAGAGAGAGUAAGGAAUGGUGAUAGAGAGAAGGAGAGAGAGUAAGGAAUGGUGAUAGAGAGAAGGAG